This 301-nucleotide ribosomal RNA is filed under the name uncultured bacterium. RNAcentral describes it as "partial 16S ribosomal RNA". It matches the Rfam family "Bacterial small subunit ribosomal RNA", at positions 509 to 807 of the family's 1533-position model. The record is from RNAcentral.
CAGCAGCCGCGGUAAUGCGAAGGGUGCAAGCGUUAAUCGGAAUUACUGGGCGUAAAGCGUGCGUAGGCGGUGAGUUAAGUCUGCUGUGAAAUCCCCGGGCUCAACCUGGGAAUGGCAGUGGAUACUGGCUCGCUAGAGUGUGUCAGAGGAUGGUGGAAUUCCCGGUGUAGCGGUGAAAUGCGUAGAGAUCGGGAGGAACAUCAGUGGCGAAGGCGGCCAUCUGGGACAACACUGACGCUGAGGCACGAAAGCGUGGGGAGCAAACAGGAUUAGAUACCCGGGUAGUCCCUGUCUCUUAUAC